UACAGGGGGUGCAAACGUUGCUCGGAAUCAUUGGGCGUAAAGCGCACGUAGGUGGUCGUUUAGGUCGGAUGUGAAAGCCCUCGGCUCAACCGAGGAAGUGCAUCCGAAACCGGACGGCUCGAGUACGGGAGAGGGUGAGCGGAAUUCCCGGAGUAGAGGUGAAAUUCGUAGAUACCGGGAGGAACACCAGUGGCGAAGGCGGCCACCUGGCCCGUUACUGACGCUGAGGUGCGAAAGCGUGGGGAGCAAACAGG
This 254-nucleotide ribosomal RNA is filed under the name uncultured bacterium. RNAcentral describes it as "partial 16S ribosomal RNA". It matches the Rfam family "Bacterial small subunit ribosomal RNA", at positions 524 to 776 of the family's 1533-position model. The record is from RNAcentral.